UGUUAAGUUCCUGACUCUUUAGCUCCUAAGCUGAUGUUUAUUGAAAUUCUAAAUGAAGUAUUUUCCCUUAUUAGAGCUGUUGCUGCUGAAGUUUGAGAGCUCUUUUCUCCUAUCCCUCCGCACUCUGAGCUUGCAUUGAAUGGGUUUAAGUGUUUAUGAAUGCAAGUGGAAGUCAUCGCCAACUAAGAGAGCUAGAUAUUAGUCUUCUUGCUUUUAUAGGUGCUAUGCUCACUCGUGGAGGGUUACAUGUACAGAGAUCACAAAGGAUGUGAUGGUAGUCACCUUUAAUAUGAUGGAUGUGCUUCUGUUGUAAAUGGAGAUCUUGUUGCUGAAGGCUCAGUUUUCUUUGAAGGAUGUAGAGGUUGUGAUAGCCCAAAUUGAUUUGGAAGCGAUUUCAAGUAAGAGGACCUGGGAGUCUAUAUAUAACCUGGGACUACACAGUACUGAAACCACAAGAUCCAAGCCCUUCUCAAACCAUGAAGGGGUUAUGCAGGGGUGCUUUCAAAUUAUAGUAGAAGAAGCAGGUACAUUUCAUUAGGGUUGUGAAAAUACCACUGAGCCUAUGAGUACACGUACAGUGCUUUCACACAGGAUGCGAAGGUACACCAGUUGAGACUGGAUAGUUUGGAUUUUGGAAGCUGCUAUUAGUCAGCCUCAGUGUUUCAUUUGUAAGAACUGUGAUCAAGUAGAAGUAGGGAAUGAUCAUUGAAAGAAGCUGUCCACACAUUCUCAAUGGAUAGUGCACUCUCUGGUGGUGGAACUUGUACUUCCCAAUACCCAAUAGUGUACCAUCCCCCAAAAGGGCUGCAGAAUUGGCCUAUGCUAUAUAAUGUUGUCGAGAUAUCACAGCGUCGACACUUUGGAGAACGUGAUCACAAAAGCAAAGUUAAGGAAGAUAAAACCAGAUCAUCUUGCACUUAAAGACUGGUUGUUUGAGUUCA
Molecule: long non-coding RNA, 941 nt
Organism: Rosa rugosa (rugosa rose)
Lineage: Eukaryota; Viridiplantae; Streptophyta; Magnoliopsida; Rosales; Rosaceae
Exons: 3
Source: RefSeq, a predicted model, not a curated record